RNAcentral lists this ribosomal RNA (668 nucleotides) under uncultured Chroococcales cyanobacterium. RNAcentral's name for it is "bacterial SSU rRNA". It matches the Rfam family "Bacterial small subunit ribosomal RNA", at positions 95 to 798 of the family's 1533-position model. The record is from RNAcentral. Lineage: Bacteria; Bacillati; Cyanobacteriota; Cyanophyceae; Chroococcales.
GUGGCGGACGGGUGAGGAACGCGUGAGAACCUGCCUCAAGGUCAGGGACAACAGUUGGAAACGACUGCUAAUACCGGAUGAGCCUUCGGGUAAAAGAUUUAUCGCCUAGAGAGGGGCUCGCGUCUGAUUAGCUAGAUGGUGAGGUAAAGGCUUACCAUGGCGACGAUCAGUAGCUGGUCUGAGAGGAUGAGUAGCCACACUGGGACUGAGACACGGCCCAGACUCCUACGGGAGGCAGCAGUGGGGAAUUUUCCGCAAUGGGCGAAAGCCUGACGGAGCAAUACCGCGUGAGGGAGGAAGGCUCUUGGGUUGUAAACCUCAAAACUUAGGGAAGAAAAAAAUGACGGUACCUAAUGUAAGCAUCGGCUAACUCCGUGCCAGCAGCCACGGUAAUACGGAGGAUGCAAGCGUUAUCCGGAAUCAUUGGGCGUAAAGAGUCCGUAGGUGGCACUUCAAGUCUGCUUUCAAAGACCGAAGCUCAACUUCGGAAAGGGAGUGGAAACUGAAGAGCUAGAGUAUAGUAGGGGUAGAGGGAAUUCCUAGUGUAGCGGUGAAAUGCGUAGAGAUUAGGAAGAACACCAGUGGCGAAGGCGCUCUACUGGGCAUAUACUGACACUGAGGGACGAAAGCUAGGGGAGCGAAAGGGAUUAGAUACCCCUGUAGUCCUA